RNAcentral lists this ribosomal RNA (1530 nucleotides) under uncultured Tintinnida. RNAcentral describes it as "partial 18S ribosomal RNA". It matches the Rfam family "Eukaryotic small subunit ribosomal RNA", at positions 245 to 1831 of the family's 1831-position model. Lineage: Eukaryota; Ciliophora; Spirotrichea; Tintinnida. The record is from RNAcentral.
GGUGACUCAUAGUAACUUAAUCGGAUCGCAUGGGCUUGUCCCGCGACAAACCAUUCAAGUUUCUGCCCCAUCAUGCUUUCGAUGGUAGUGUAUUGGACUACCAUGGCUUUCACGGGUAACGGAGGAUUAGGGUUCGAUUCCGGAGAGGGAGCCUGAGAAACGGCUACCACUUCCACGGAAGGCAGCAGGCGCGUAAAUUACCCAAUCCUGACUCAGGGAGGUAGUGACAAGAAAUAAUGGGUCGGGGUUCUGCCCCGGGACCGCAAUGAGACGAAUUUAGACCCCUUAUCGAGGACCAAUUGGAGGGCAAGUCUGGUGCCAGCAGCCGCGGUAAUUCCAGCUCCAAUAGCGUAUAUUAAAGUUGUUGCAGUUAAAAAGCUCGUAGUUGGAUUUCUGGUAGUGGGCAAGAGCUCGUUGCACGUUGCUCGCGUUCAUUGCCAUCCUUCUGUUAACCUAUCAGGGCAUUCUAUUGUCAGUUAGGGGCUCAGAUAUUUUACCUUGAGAAAAUUAGAGUGUUUCAGGCAGGCUUGUGCCCGGAUACAUUAGCAUGGAAUAAUGGAAUAGGACUUUAGCCUCUUCUGUUGGUCUGAGGGGUUGAAGUAAUGAUUAAUAGGGAUAGUUGGGGGCAUUAGUACUUAACUGUCAGAGGUGAAAUUCUCGGAUUUGUUAAAGACUAACUUAUGCGAAAGCAUUUGCCAAGGAUGUUUUCAUUAAUCAAGAACGAAAGUUAGGGGAUCAAAGACGAUCAGAUACCGUCCUAGUCUUAACCAUAAACUAUGCCGACUCGGGAUCGGGGGCCAGAGUUAACUGCCUUCGGCACCGUAUGAGAAAUCAAAGUCUUUGGGUUCUGGGGGGAGUAUGGUCGCAAGGCUGAAACUUAAAGGAAUUGACGGAAGGGCACCACCAGGCGUGGAGCUUGCGGCUCAAUUUGACUCAACACGGGGAAACUUACCAGGUCCAGACAUAGUGAGGAUUGACAGAUUGAUAGCUCUUUCUUGAUUCUGUGGGUGGUGGUGCAUGGCCGUUCUUAGUUGGUGGAGUGAUUUGUCUGGUUAAUUCCGUUAACGAACGAGACCUUAGCCUACUAAAUAGUCGCAACAAUUACGAUUGGCUGCGUCUUCUUAGAGGGACUUUGCAAGCAACUGCAAGGAAGUUUGAGGCAAUAACAGGUCUGUGAUGCCCUUAGAUGUCCUGGGCCGCACGCGUGCUACACUGACGCAUACAGCGAGUAUCACCAGCUCCGUGAGGCUGCUGGUAAUCAGCAAUAUGCGUCGUGCUGGGGAUAGAUCUUUGGAAUUUUUGAUCUUGAACGAGGAAUGCCUAGUAAGCGCAGGUCAUCAGCCUGCGUUGAUUAAGUCCCUGCCCUUUGUACACACCGCCCGUCGCUCCUACCGAUUUCGAGUGGUCCGGUGAACCCUUUGGACCGAGAGCGCCUCGUGAGCUUUUGGAAAGUCGAGUAAACCACAUCACUUAGAGGAAGGACAAGUCGUAACAAGGUUUCCGUAGGUGAACCUGCGGAAGGAUCAUUAA